CCGUGGGCGACUCUAAAGGGAACGUGCCGGUGUUAAACCGGGAGGAAGGUGGGGGAUGACGUCAAGUCCUCAUGGCCUUUAUGACCAGGGCUACACACGUACUACAAUGGCCGGAACAAAGGGAUGCGAAGCAGUGAUGUGGAGCGAAACCCAUAAAAACAGUCUCAGUUCGGAUUGAAGUCUGCAACUCGACUUCAUGAAGUCGGAAUCGCUAGUAAUCGCGGAUCAGAACGCCGCGGUGAAUACGUUCUCGGGGUUU
This 259-nucleotide ribosomal RNA is filed under the name uncultured Acholeplasma sp. RNAcentral describes it as "partial 16S ribosomal RNA". It matches the Rfam family "Bacterial small subunit ribosomal RNA", at positions 1128 to 1382 of the family's 1533-position model. Lineage: Bacteria; Bacillati; Mycoplasmatota; Mollicutes; Acholeplasmatales; Acholeplasmataceae. The record is from RNAcentral.